Non-coding RNA from Elaeis guineensis (African oil palm), 6063 nucleotides. The record is from RefSeq and is a predicted model, not a curated record. NCBI's taxonomy places the organism in Eukaryota, Viridiplantae, Streptophyta, Magnoliopsida, Arecales, Arecaceae.
GCAAUGUUGGGCUACGGGUCAGACAAUCGACCCAAACGUUCUAACGGCGUUGGGCAACGGCUCCGUUAACGGCAUCUCGAGAGGAGGAGAGAGGGAUCGGGGAUGACGGCGGGGGCGUCGUCGACGGGAGGGAUGCACGCGUACGGGCAGCCGGCGUACUGGGACCAACGAUAUCGCCGGGACCAACGAUAUCGCCAGGACCCGGGGCCCUUCGACUGAUACUAGAAGUACAAAACCCUAGGCCCGCUCCACGACCUCUAUCUCCGCCGCUCCCACCGCCUCCUCCUUGUCGGCUGCGGCAACUCUGCACUUGGACAAAGCAUGGUCGCUGAUGGUUACUAGGAUGUUGUCAACAUAGACAUAUCUUCUGUAGUAUUUGAAGCUAUGCAAAAGGAAGUAUCAGGAUAAACCACAGCUCCAGUGUAUCCUACAAAUAAUAAUUAUUAUAAAGUUGUUUAUCCAUGAUCUCUUUUAGCCUUACCAUAUCUUUCUUUCUUUCUUUCUUUUCUUUUUUUUUUUUUUUGGGUCGUGGGGGGAGGUUGUUGAAGUGGAGAGUUAAAGGAAAGUUUAAUGGUUUGAUGAAACUUUAUGCUUUAUUUGUUUCUUUCUGACCAUUUUGAUAAAUAUCAAAAUGGAUGUUAGAGAUAUGAAUGCUUUUGAAGAUGGUUCCUUUGAUGCCAUUAUUGAUAAAGGUUUCUUUUUUUUUUCAAAAAUAAUCUCCUCAUGGUUAAGUUUACAUCAUGUUAGAAAUUCUAGUGUUCGUUGCCUCUCUUGGUCAUUAUUUAUCAGUUUGUUUGCUGAACAAACUAUAUAUUUUUUCUGAAAUCUAUCACAUUUUUAUUUAUGGUUAUAUUUUUAUGCAGGAACCCUUGACUCUCUCUUGGUGAGUGCCUUGCAUCUUAAAUACUUUCUCUUGUUAUAAUAUGAGAGUCCAGCACAUGCAAUGUCUGUGCUUUGUUCUAAUGAUUUGAAAAUUGGUCGGCCCCAUCUAUUAAAGAAAGAGAGAGAGAGAUAAUUGGGCAUAAGUGAUUUUUUUUCAUUUCUUCAUUUCUUUGGGCCAGUGGUCCAACAUGAAGGGCCUCAGAUUCCAGCAUGCUUCCUGGAAUCAGAACUUUUUCCAUUAUAUAGAGAGAAGAGGCUGAUAUUAGAAUUUGUUGAUGUGUAGUGUGGGCACAAUGCACCACACAAUGCAACUAAAAUGCCGGAGGAGGUUGGUAGGUAAUAAUAAUGCCUGAUCUUAUAGACUUUUUUUAGCAUUUAUUUUCCUUCAAUUUAGCUUAUCAACUUAAAUUGAGGUUGUCUAAUUAAAUCUCUAUCAGGGUUAGAGUUAAUUCUGGGACUGACCUUAGUUAGAGUUAAUCCUGGGACACAUUGUCAUGUAGGUAAAGUUGAUGACCUUUUGAUAGAUCAUCAAGAUAUAUUGUCCCUCGCGGCCAGCUAAUGUCAGGCUCCUGCAAUAGGAUAUUGUAAGGUUGUCUAUUUUUAUGAAGGAACAACCAUCAGAAAUUAGGAGUUUGGGUCUGCAAUUUUCUGAUGUUUCAUCCAAAUAGAAGUCAGAGAAGAGGGUUAGGGUGCCAGAGACUGUCCUAGAGAAGGGUGGAGAGGUCUGAAUUUUAGUGCUAGGCAUAUGUAAUACAUAUUUCUUUUUUCAUGCAAUUAACAUGGAGAUGGUGGGUUGAAGGUUAAUCUGAAGCCCUGGGGUUGCUUUGACACUUGAAAGAUGGAUAGAAAUGGAUAAGAUGGGAGCAUUAGGAAUUGGAUUGAUUAUUUUGGGAUGCGUAAGUGGCGGGCAUCUCUAUUACCCUAUUACCUAGUUAAUGUAGUGAGAAAUAAAGAUGAAGCUAAUCUUGGUCUAUGGACCCAUCAAAUAGAAAAGUUAGAGAGCUUAAUUAGGUGAAGCAGGGGUUGGAUCUAUAGUGUGUAGGAGGAGACUCCAUUCUCACCAGGUUAUCUUUCUGGCGGAGAAGGGUAUUUUGUUAAAUACUUGUGGCCUGUCAGAUAUUCCACCGAGAAUAUUUUUUCUUAAUAUUUUGAGUUGCAAAGGGAGCCAAAUCAUUCACCUUUGAUGCAUUAGCAAAUCAAUCAUCAUGGUCUUGCUUGAUGUUCAAAUUUGAUUUCAUGAUCAGAUCUUGCAGAGUCUUGAAGUGAUAUGAUGUGUCACCAGAUUUUGCUUGAUAUUUAUAUCUAAUUUGUGUGCAUGUCUAAGAGAGAAUAAAGAAAGUAUAGUUUCUUCAACUUCAGCUUUUGUUAGGACUCUUGCAUUAGAUCAUGUCCAUGUUCUUAUAAUAUGAAUCUUUAGUUGAUUUAAUGAAGGCAGGUAGAAGGGAAAAGUGGAGAAGAUUUUCUUCUGCAUGAGUUUUAAUGAAUUACAGCAGCUUAUAUACCUUACAGAACCCUAAAACUAGCCUGCUGAAGCCUCUCUCCAAGGAUAAAUUAUUGCAUGGACCAUGUCCAAGUGGACCAGGGCAAAUCUUAGAGCAUAUGCAUGGUGGAGAACACGCAAUCGGGAAUUGGUGAAAUACGAGGGGUAAUGUGGCAUGUUAUCCACCAUCGGAUUUGGCGUGGUCCAUUGGACCUAGUCCAAGUAAUAAAUGGACCUCUUCAAGUAUGUAAUACAUGAGCCUUCCCUAAACUUCUUGCCUUAGAAAAGGAGAAGAAAAGAGGUAUGUGGUGCUAAUGGGAAAUGCCAGAUUUCAUGGUAAAACUGAAAUUUGAAGACAAGCUCAACUGCUCAAGCGUUCUGCAGUUUUGAAAGCACAAAACAUGCAUAGAUAGACAAUUCUUUGGAGACAUAUGUAAAGGCACAAAAAUAUGUUUAGGAAACACGGUUACGAAUUAUGUUAUGUUAAAAAUUUGCCUUGGAUGUUGAAAUGCGAAGUUUCAUGUAAAACAUUAUGCACAAUAGGCCUCCCAUAUGUGCGUGUUGUUGCUUUUAUACAUCAUGGAAACAUCCUCUUCCAUGGAAACACGUUUGUUCCAUCAAGGCUUCAAAUUUAAAAUGAGAAGGUGGCAUAAAAAUAACAUUAUAAGAAAAUUAGAAAAACAAACAUCUGCAUUGUGGAGCUACAUUAAAUGGUAUUGUAUUGAUACACCCUCCAAUAACUAUCCUGUAUCAAAUCAUUUCACAGGGAAAGUUCUGACAUUGUAAACCACAAAAGGACUCAAAUCCUGUUAAAAUAUGCUUUCUUUUCUCAAAGAUUUAUGACUUGGGCAUGACAUAUGAUCUGUAAUUAUAACAUGCUAUAAUAUCAUUAUGACUUGUUUCAACUUUUGGCAAACUAAUUAUUUUAUGUUUGAGUUUAUAAGAAAAAUUUUUCUGGGGAUAAGAUAAUCAAUGUCUGUCUGUAGAAAAAUGAUCUGUUACAUGGAGUAUCAAUAGGGCUGCUAAAGGGUUAUGUGGAUUAAAAGACAUGAAAGUCAUCGCCUUUAAGAUAAGAUCAACUGAAGUUCUUCACGAUAUCUAGAAACUCUAUAUAUCUAGGACUGGCAAGAAAUGAAUGAUGUGGAGAUAUGAUUCUGGAUGAUGAGAUGUGAUCAUUAGAGAGAAAAAUGGGGCUACAUAUGCAAAUGGUGCAUGAGUAGUGUCAAAUUGCCGAGAUUCUUAAGCAGAUUUUUGUUUUCCUCCUGUCAUCAACAGUUGUGUUUUUAAGGGUGGCAGCUUUCCCAUGUUUAGUGAUUUUGACGAUUUUGCUAGGACUCACGAUUUAUUUUGCACUCUGUGCUCAUAGUUGAUGCAUAUGAUGGCAUAUUUUCGGUAUUUUGAUUUAGAACCUACAAUGGGUUUCUAGCAAGAAUGUGGAUGUUUUAUUCAUUCAGGAAUUCACUUUGACAUGCUCUGAGGUAUUUGUUGUUGGGGAUAGGAUUGGAACAAGUGAACUUGUAGGUAUUGAUGCCAUAUUAAACAUUGGCAUGUGUAGAUAGAUCAUUCUUUGGAAAUAUACAUGAAGGCACAAAGAUAUUGUUAGUAAAUGCAAAUAAAUAUUAAAAUCUUUGGGAUAAAGAUAUGUCCUGAAGACUGAAGACGAAGAUUGGCUUUACACAUUAUCCAUUGUAUAUAUGAAUGUUCUAUAUAUGCAUCUGUAUAGAACAUAUAUAUGUGCAUGUUCUACACUCUUAUAUGUCCUAUAUAUGCAUGUUCUUUAUUCCUCAUAUAGGAAGUCCUCAGGUUGGUGUAAACAAAGAAAGGAAAAAAAGGGGAAAUGGGAAGGCUCCAAAGUCUACACUCCUGCUGGACUUUGGGCGCCAUUGGGCUAUGGGUGAAGUAGAAAUGUGGAGUUGCUUGGGAGAUCAUCACUGCUAGAGUCUGGCUACAAAAGGGUAGCUGCAUUACAAAGAAAAGUUCAGUCACAGAAACUUUCUGCCAUUAAAAUAGUAGAUAUGCUACUAAAAUCAUUUUAAGAUGUCAUUAUGGUUCAUUCUCAACUUUUGGCAAACCAAUUAUUUUAACUUUGAGUUUAAAAUGGAAAUUUCUGUCAGGACAAGAUGUUCGAUGUCUCUCUGCGGUCAAAUGCUUGUACACCAAGUACCAAGAGAGUUACCAAAGGGUUGUGGAUUAAAAGAGACUAAAGCCACAAUGUUUAAAAUAAGAAUAACUAAAGAAGCUCUUCACAAUCUCAAGAAACUCAGGCCAGCUUACAUUGACAAGGUUUGAGUGGAGGCAUGGGAUGAUGGUUAUGGAGGAUGGGAUGUGUUUGUUGGAGGAAAUAUGGGCUGAAAUACAUUACUGGUCUAGAAGUGGUAUCGAAUCACCUAGAGAUUUUUAAGUAGAAAUUUGGUUGGAGAUGGUGAUUCCAAUUUUGCUAAGAAUGUUGAGAUAAACAAGGGAUUGUUCACUGUAAACUAUCGAGGAUAUCGAGUUAUUUACUUGUAGUAGAUGUGCAUGUUGACAUCUAUUUGAUGUUUGGAUCCAGUCUGUACUCUGGGCUUCAUCCAGUGAGAGCUUGGAAAAUUUUAUGCAUUUGGUAGAUCACCAUUGACAUAUCCCAAGGUAUUUAUUGUUGGGAAUGCGAUUGCAAAGAAUAAACUGCAGACUAGGUCUCCCCACAUAUCAAUGAGGUGGUUGUUCUCUUACAAUCAAAUUUUGAGUCCAUGGCUGGAAGCCUGGAAGAAAUAAAAUAUUUCUUUUUUCCUUAAAUACUUGAUUUGAUAUGUUGCACGCUCAUUUCUGAAAAAAAAAAGAUAUUUUGCAACUCAAUUGUUCGGCGUUUGCUUUACAUUUUCAUUUUCAAGUUCUUCUGUCCUUCGCUCUGAUCCCUGGCUAGAGACAGAAGCUGUGUAUAAAACAUAUCAUCAGCACAAAGGCCUUAUACUCAGUUAUCUGGAUUUAGUCUUAUUCUGUUUCAGAAGCUUCCUGUUUUGGGAACGAGCCUUCUUGAUGAAAGAUAUGGCAGAAUGUUCUGAGUUAUAUGUGGCUUCCUAAUUCAGAUUUCCUUGGACUCUGUCAGUUCCUUUUUUUCAGUUACCGUUCGUACUAAAUUUAUGAAGUUAUGUCCUGCUUCCAGCAUUAACUUUCAGGGUUUUAUGUAUACCACAGGUGAAACAUGGAUGUUUGACUCAAUGAUUUCAACUAUUGUUUGCUGUUACUGACAGGAUGGAGAAGGGUUCAGAACAGAAUACAUGGAACUAACUUACCCUUUGCCUUUAAAUGAGGAUUGUAGCUCUGUUGCCGUCAUUCCUGGUACAAACCCUGAAGUACAUUACAUUUUUGUCUGUGUAAAGGUCAGCAACCUGUUCAAAAUAAUAUGCAUAUAAUUCUCAUUGUUCUAAACUCACUUGUUCUCUUGACCUGAUCCAUGAUGCUCUGCAUGUACAUGGUUGUGCAUCCUGUUUCAGGAUAAAUCCCUAAGAUAGAAUCUAAAUGAAGAGGUUGAACAUUAGCUCUAGGGUUAUUGCCAAAGAUUCCAAAUGAUUUUUAUAUAUCCAUGUUGCAAGUCUGUGUUCUUGUAAAGGAAUAAAAUAUGCUGUAAUCUAGAUUUGUAUUCAUUUGUGAAAAAUUGACCAAGGCUCCAAUUCUGGUGAGGAAUUGAGGGCUGAUUAUUUCUCACUAAUUCUGUUGAAAAUGUA